Molecule: long non-coding RNA, 5123 nt
Filed under: Sus scrofa (pig)
Lineage: Eukaryota; Metazoa; Chordata; Mammalia; Artiodactyla; Suidae
Description: lncRNA (ENSSSCG00015077404.1)
Source: RNAcentral
GCAGAAAAUCCCCCUCUUGGCUCUUCACAUAUGACAUGCACUCUCUGGACGUGGAUGAGAUGUCACCCCCUGGGAAAGCUCUUUCUCCUCCCAUGGCAAACAUCCCACGGUCUCUACUUUCCCCCAUGGUCUUCUGAAAUUUGAGGAGCACAUGUGUCUUAUUUACCCUGGAUCUCUGGUGCCAACUACGGUGUCUGGAGUAGAGAGGUACGACAAAUAUUGGCUGAAUGAAUGACUCAAUCCGUCCCCCUCCCCACCCCCACCACAAAGCAAACCCAGGGGCAUAAUAAUUAACCCAUCUGGCCAAGCAAAUGCAAGCCAGGGGAGGACUUCUCUAGUGUCUUUUCCAUUCUUCUAUAUUCUCUGUUGUUUUUUAUUUUUUAAAGAAAAGAACUUGCAUUGUUAAAAAUUAAAUCAUGACCGUUAGAAAGCAUCACUUGUAAAUGAUGGCACAAAACUGCAAACAACUGAUAAAAACCAAGAAAGGCUUCUUCGUAAAUGCUGUCCCUUGUUACCAGUUUAAAAUAAGGUUUUUUCCUUCUAACCAUGACCUCGUUGCCUUUGCCUUUUUGUGGGCAAAGACAGGCGCUUCUGUAGCUUUGAACUUUCCUCCUUUAGCUUGUACUCAGCUGCUGGUCGGUCCACAGGUGUCAAAUGCUGCGCUCUGCCAUUUGCUUACACCGAGCACUGAGCCUCCCGCGCAUUGUUAGCUUCAUCCACCCAUGUGUAAGCUCUGACUCUGCGCUGAACUCUUGCUCACCUUGCCUGCCUCUGAGCUGCCUUUGAAGGGGCAGGCCUGUCAGGGGUCUGAAUCUGCUCCAGCUGUUCCUAAUUCUUUCAUUCCUGAAGGCUGCCUCAGAGCAUCAGAGCAUUGCCUGCUUCUCAGAGAAGAGGCUGUACUGGGAGAAGCAGGGGUGCGUGCUUUGCUCUGCCCACAAGCCUGCUCCUCUCCCUCUGGGCCUUGGGAGAGAUGCUAGUCGUUGAUGCUAAUGAAUUUUUGCUUGGUUUUAUUUCACCAAAAAUUUUACUCCUGGGAGUUCCCAUUGUGGUUCAGUGGUAACGAACCUGAUUAGCAUCCGUGACGACACAGGUCUGAUCCCUGGCGUUGCUCACGUUAAGGAUCCGACAUUGCCGAGAGCUGUGACGUAGGUCGCAGACAUCAUUCAGAUCUUGCAUUGCUGUGACUGCGGCAUAAACUGGCAGCUGUAGCUCUGAUUCCACCCCUAGCCUAGGAACCCCUAUAUGCCGUGGGUGUGGCCCCAUAGGAAAAAUUACUCAUGAAAGAAAAGUUGGCAAUAGAGAAACCUGGGAAAAAAAUUUACCAACCUCACUGCUCCCAUUAGGAUUUCGAUAUAUUUCUUUUUAGUCUCUUAUCCACAUUGAAAAUGUUAAUUUUGAACAAUUAUUCUCCUUUCAUGCAUACAAUUUUAUUUUAUUUUUUAAAUUUUUAUUGAAAUAGAGUUGAUUUACAAUGCUGUGUAAGUUUCAAGGUGUACAGCAAAAUGAUUCAGUUAUACGUAUCCACAUACUUCUGUUCUUUUUCAGCUUCUUUCCUCCUAUAAGUUUUACAAAAUAUUGAGUAUGGUCCCUUGUGCUAUACAGUAGGUCCUUGUCAGUUAUAUAUUAUAUUUAUAUUAGAGUGUAUAUAUUAAUCCUAAAUCCUAAUUUACCCUCCCUUCCUUCUCCCCUUUGGUAACCAUAGGUUUAUUUUCUGUCUGUGAGUCUCUUUCUUUUUUGUAAAUAAGUUCAUUGGUAUCAUUCAAAACUUCUUUCCUGAUAGCACAUUUCCUGGGGAAUAAAAACAUCUCCAAUUUACUGAAUUAUGACCAGAUGCCAUUGGUGCCCUAAAUAGGUUAUAAAUAUCACUUCAGGUAAUCCUCACUAUAACCCUAUGAAGUUAGUAUUGAUUUUAAUGUCCUCAUUUUAAAAAAGUUAAUUAAUUUUUUAUUAUAUAUUGGAGAAUAGUUGACUUACAGUGUCAUGCAUAUACUUUUAUAUUUUUAAUUCUCCCUUAGCAUUGUUGAAGUCUAUUUUGCAUAAUAUUUCACUGAAUGGAUAUCCCAGAAAAUAAUUAUUCUCCUCUCGUUACACGUGUACACUGUUUCCAUUGUCAGUGUAAAAGAAUAACAAAAUGAAUGGAAGUGAAGCACAGAGAAAAAAGCAAAACAACCGCAAGCUUUAAGCCUAAAACCUUGUCUCUAUUUAGAAUGCUUUCCUUCCUAUCUCCAUUCUGAAGGGAAAUUACUGAGUAAAAGAGAGUAAAUAUCUCCAAAGAUCCUAUUUCAUUUGCUGGAAUUGUUUCCCAAAUAUGUACUGAUUUAUAUACAGCUCGGUGUGGGUGAGGGUGGCCAUUUCAUUCAUUCUCGACAGGCUGUACUUAUACAUUUUGUUUUUCUCCUGAAUUUCAUAGAUCAAUGUGGCAGCAUUAUUUUUGAUUCCCAGUGAAUUGAAACGUUUUCGCAAAUGUUAAUUUAUAUUAAUUGUGGGGUCCUAUGAAAUUCUUUUCAUGGCCUUUGAUCAUUAAUGUGUUUGGGAUUUUGUACUUACCUUUCUUACAGCUUGUUAUUUAAUAAAGAAGUUAACCGUCACAUUUGCUGCAAAUGUUCUUCCUGUGGUAGCUUAUGUUUUCAAUGUUUGUGUCUGUAGCAUAUGGGAGUUCCCAGGCUGGGGUCGAAUGGGAGCUGCAGCUGGGGCCAUGGCAAGACGGGAUCUGAGCUGCAUCUGCCGCCAAUGCUGCAGCUUGUGUCAAUGCUGGAUCUUAACCCACUGAGAGAGGCCGGGGAUCGAGCCUGCAUCGUCGUGGAGAGAAUGUUGGGUCAUGAACCCAGUGAGCCACAACGGGAUUUCCUGUUUUGAAUGUUUAUCUAUAGAUUUAACAUAUAUUGGUGUAAUUAAAUCAAUUUAUCCUUUUAAUUUGUACUUUAUUACAGCUUUAAAAAUCCUUCUCACUCCUGGUCUGCUCUUCCACUCACCCAAACAUUUAGUAAUGUUCACUUCCGUAUCGUUUUCUGAGAUUUUAUGUUUUGAUAUUUUUUGCAUGUAACAUAUGGCAUUUUAUUCUAGUGUAUGGAGUCAAGCGAAAAGCUGUAUUUUUUUUUUUUUUUCCUAGAUUUUUAACCAAAUGUCCCCAGAACAUUUCUGGAACAUUCUUUACUUUGUCCACUGAUUUGGGAUUCUUUGUUAAUUAUAUUUUCAAUUCCUGAAUACACUGGGGUUUAUUGUUGGACAACUGGCUAUAGUUUAUUGAUCUGUGGCCGUCUUUGUGCCAGUAGUCAGUAUUUAGCAAAUUGAAACUUUAUAAUAUGUUUAAGUUUCAGGGUAAAGUUUAUACUUAUUUUUCAACAUUUGCAAAAAGCCCCCUUUUGGUGUGUAUUUGAAAAAAAAAUCCUUGCAUUUAUUUGGGAUGUAUUUGCCAUGAUUAAAAUAUGUUGUCUUUCCUUCCAGAGCACAGCAAACCUUAUGGGUUCCAUUUCUAUUAAUGUUAUUUCUGGAUUUUUACUAUAUAUAUUUUGUGGAUAUUAUUAGUGUAGUCUUUUUUUCCUUUGAAUUUUAAAAGGUUAUUUCAGUUAUACAAAAAAAAAAGACUAUACAAUUGAUUUCACUGACCUCUCAUUACACUCAAAAUUAAAUCAAAUUUUUUACCAUAUAUCAAAAAUCUAUGAUCUGGCCUCUGCCUACCUCAACCCCACUCAUCUCGUACUACCUUCCAUUUUGCUUUCAUAGGCUCCUUUUAGUUUCUUCAAUGACCUGUUUUUCCACAGGUUUCUUCCACCCUGUGCCCUCUGCCUGGAAUAUUCUUCCUAUCUUCUUCAUGAGGCUAAUUCUUUCUUCCCCUUCAGGUCACCUGUCACUUCCUCAGAGAGGCCUUUCCUGACCACAUAAUAUAUUAUAUGCCUCACACUCCCCAUCUUUUUUCUCUCUCGUGGUAACUUGUAAAUACCUAUUUACUUAUGUGCUAAUUAUUUUAGUGGUAGGAAGCCUCAAGAUGAGCACCCAUAUUCCCCACCUCCUGGUUUCAUGCCCUUGGAUAAUCCCCUUCCUAUGAGGGUGGGCUGGACUGGUGACUUGCUCCUAAUGAAUACAAAUCCUUGAGGAGCACUUUUGAUGUCAGGUUCCUUCUGUCCUGCCCUCUGGCUGGCUUGCUCUGGGGGAAGCCAGCUGCCAUGUGAGCCUCCCUGUGGAGAAGCCCGGUGGUAAAAAAUUGGGGCAAGUCAGCAAGGAACCGAUCUGUUCAGUCCAACACUCCAUGAUUCCUGCCAAAAGCCCCUUGAGUCUUUCCCCAAACAUAUCAGGAAACAGAUUUGGUAAAAGCCUAUCCAGUCUUUACCAUAACAAAACCAACUUAUUUAAUUUCCUACUCUUGUGUGUGUGUGUGUGUGUGUGACCACUGUCUCACACAAAACCUAUUCUCCAGCCAGUAAACUGGCACUUUGUUAUUUUUUUAUUUUAUUUUAUUUUAUUUUAUUUUGUCUUUUUGCUAUUUCUUAGGCCGCUCCUGCGGCAUAUGGAGGUUCCCAGGCUAGGGGUUGAAUUGGAGCUGUAGCCACCGGCCUACGCCAGAGCCACAGCAACGCAGGAUCCGAGCCGCGUCUGCAACCUACACCACAGCUCACGGCAACGCCGGAUCGUUAACCCACUGAGCAAGGGCAGGGACCGAACCCGCAAUCUCAUGGUUCCUAGUCGGAUUCGUUAACCACUGCGCCACGACGGGAACUCCCACUUUGUUAUUUAGUUAGUUAUUUGAGUUGAUAAAGAUUUACUGAGUACCUGUUAUGUUCCAGUUACUGAAUUAAGCAUAGGAAUAAAACAAUGUGCAAAACAUACACACCCCUUGUAUUGUUGGAGUUUAGGUGGUAGAAAAGUACAGACAGGGAGUUCCCAUCGUGUCUCAGUGAUGAAGAACCUAACUAGUAUCCACGAGGAUGCGGGUUUGAUCCCUGGCCUCGUUCACUGGGUUAAGGAUCUAGUGUUGCCAUGAGCUGCAGUGUAGACAUGGCUCAGAUCCUGCAUUGCUGUGCCUGUGGUGUAGGUCAGCAGCUCCAGCUUGGAUUUGACCCCUAGCCUGGGAACUUCCAUAUGCUGCAAGAGUGGCCCUACAAAGACAAAAAAAAAAAAAAAAAAAA